RNAcentral lists this ribosomal RNA (447 nucleotides) under Lotmaria passim. RNAcentral's name for it is "SSU rRNA". It matches the Rfam family "Eukaryotic small subunit ribosomal RNA", at positions 525 to 912 of the family's 1831-position model. Lineage: Eukaryota; Euglenozoa; Kinetoplastea; Trypanosomatida; Trypanosomatidae. The record is from RNAcentral.
ACCCAUCGAAAAUCUAGUAACAAUUGGAGGACAAGUCUGGUGCCAGCACCCGCGGUAAUUCCAGCUCCAAAAGCGUAUAUUAAUGCUGUUGCUGUUAAAGGGUUCGUAGUUGAACUGUGGGCUGUGUAGGUUUGUUCCUGGUCGUCCCGUCCAUGUCGGAUUUUGGUGGCCCAGGCCCUUGCAGCCCGUGAACAUUCAAAGAAACAAGAAACACGGGAGUGGUUCCUUUCCUGACUCACGCAUGUCAUGCAUGCUGCAGGGGGCGUCCGUGAUUUUUACUGUGACUAAAGAAGUGUGACUAAAGCAGUCAUUUGACUUGAAUUAGCAAGCAUGGGAUAACAAAGGAGCAGCCUUUAGGCUACCGUUUCGGCUUUUGUUGGUUUUAAAGGUCUAUUGGAGAUUAUGGAGCUGUGCGACAAGUGCUUUCGCAUUCCGAUCCUUGGUGGU